RNAcentral lists this unclassified non-coding RNA (321 nucleotides) under uncultured fungus. RNAcentral's name for it is "partial contains 5.8S rRNA and ITS2". Lineage: Eukaryota; Fungi. The record is from RNAcentral.
AACGCAUAUUGCGCUCGAGGCUUCGGCCAAGAGCAUGUCUGCCUCAGCGUCGGGUUAAUACUCGCUCUAUCCCUCCCUGGUGGGGGAUAUGAACGGAUCUGGCUGUCUCGGCAAUCCAUUGGACUGCCGGGUCAGCUGAAGUGCAGAGGUUGAUGCAUGGACCCGCUAAUGGGCCUCUACUGGGUAGGCAAUUCGUUGCUAAUGCUUUAGUAGAUGGCUUGGGACUGUGCCUGUCGGCCCAAACCAGGAACUCAGCCUCGUGCUGAGCAAAACCCCUAUUUUCUCGACCUGAGCUCAGGCAAGAUUACCCGCUGAACUUAA